GGGCCAUAGCUCAAUGGGAGACCAUCUGCUUUGCAUGCAGGAAGUCUCAGAUUCAAGCCCUGCCAUCUCCA
Podarcis lilfordi (Lilford's wall lizard) is the source of this 71-nucleotide non-coding RNA. Lineage: Eukaryota; Metazoa; Chordata; Lepidosauria; Squamata; Lacertidae. The record is from the annotation of a GenBank genome assembly.